The sequence is an unclassified non-coding RNA, 315 nucleotides long. Its record names the gene 7SK. It matches the Rfam family "7SK RNA". From Rfam's summary of the family: 7SK was discovered as an abundant small nuclear RNA in the mid-70s but a possible function has only recently been suggested. Two independent studies have found that 7SK RNA binds the CDK9/cyclin T complex (known as elongation factor P-TEFb). The record is from Ensembl.
GGACUUGGGCAGUCUGGCUAUGACACCUGUCACCCCAUUGAUUCAGCUGAUCUGGCUGGCUGGCUGGGUGUCUCCUUCCUCCCUCAGAGCUCCAUGUGGGUCCCUCCUGAAGCUGCACACUGGGUCCAAGAGGACGACCUUCCCUGAUAGAGGAGGACUGUUGUUCAGUCGAGGGCAUACAAGUAGCUGCACUCCCUUGCUAGAACCUCCAAAUGAGCCCUCAAGAUCCAUUCGUAGGAGAACGUAGGGUAGUCAGGAGUCCAAGAUUCCAGACACAUCGAGAUGAGGUGCUGCAUGUGGCAGCUGCCUUACUUU